AGUGGCGGCUAUACUGGGUUUGUCCCACCCGUUUCCAUACCGAAUACGGAAGUGAAAUAACCCGAGGCCGAUGAUAGUAGGUUUUCCUGCGAAAGUAGGUAGCUGCCACCA
This 111-nucleotide ribosomal RNA is filed under the name Candidatus Nealsonbacteria bacterium CG_4_10_14_0_8_um_filter_37_14. Lineage: Bacteria; Candidatus Nealsoniibacteriota. The record is from RNAcentral. RNAcentral also lists the same sequence under 3 other names.